CAGGCUCUGACUGAAGACCCCCGGUUUGCUGUAGCCGUUGGUUUCAAACAGGAGCCCAGAGGAAGCGUCUCCCGGUCUGUUGGUGCUCCCGUGCCAUGGAACAGCCAAUUCGUGUGGGAGCGACACCA
Manacus vitellinus (golden-collared manakin) is the source of this 128-nucleotide small nucleolar RNA. NCBI's taxonomy places the organism in Eukaryota, Metazoa, Chordata, Aves, Passeriformes, Pipridae. The record is from Ensembl.